GUUUACGGCCAUGCUACCCUGAACACGCCCAAUCCUGUCUGAUCUCGGAAGCUAAGCAGGGUCGGGCCUGGUUAGUACUUGGAUGGGAGACUACCUAGAAAGCCCAGGUGCUGCAGGCG
RNAcentral lists this ribosomal RNA (119 nucleotides) under Pteropus alecto (black flying fox). The record is from RNAcentral. Lineage: Eukaryota; Metazoa; Chordata; Mammalia; Chiroptera; Pteropodidae.